AAAAAUCUAGAAAAUGAAACAAGUGUUAGUGGCAACAAUCCGGCAAAAUAUAGAAUAUAACCUGCCAAUCUUCUUGUUUACUACGCAUCUCCAAGCUCCUUCGCCUGAGAAUCCUCUCUGCUACAACAUUUCGUGCAAAUGGCUUCUCAUUCUCAUGAAGCUCUUUAUCAUUGGGAGAACUGUUGUCAUUGCUUCCUCUCAAGAAAGCAUU
RNAcentral lists this unclassified non-coding RNA (211 nucleotides) under Hevea brasiliensis (rubber tree). The record is from RNAcentral. Lineage: Eukaryota; Viridiplantae; Streptophyta; Magnoliopsida; Malpighiales; Euphorbiaceae.